CAGUUGCCACUUCCACAUA
RNAcentral lists this unclassified non-coding RNA (19 nucleotides) under synthetic construct. The record is from RNAcentral.